AUAUCUCAAUUCAAUCUUAAUUUAAUCCUAGUUAAAAUCCUAUUAGACUUCAUUCAAACUUUAGGCCAAAACUAAUUAAAUCUUAAACCCUAAACAAAUCCUAAUAAAAUCCUAAAUCCUAAAUCCUAAAUCAAAUCCUAAAUCCUAAACCAAAUCCUAAACUCUAAACCAAAUCCUAAACUUUAAACCAAAUCCUAAAUCCUAAAUCAAACCUUAACCAAAUCCUAAUCCUAAAUCAAAUCUUAACCAAACUCUAAAUCCUAAAUCAAUCCCUAAUCAAAUCCUAGUAAUUUCUACAACAGUUUUAAACCUCAAUAACUAAUAAAUAAAUCAUUGAACUUAACUCAAAUUUUGCACACUUCUUAAAAGCUAAUUUGAAAACAAGCAUAAAAAAUUUUAAAAGGAUCGAAAUUACCAAAUAGACAAUAACCUCAAAAAUGUGCUCGGAUAUUGGCCAGUCUCCUUCUCCAACCUUGAUGCCAAUCUCCUAGAGCCUAUAUCUCUCCUUUUCACCAUUCGAUUGAUUUCAAAAUUCUCAUACACAUAGAAAAAUAAGUCUAAUAUCCUUUCGCAUAAGUUUCACUCC
RNAcentral lists this long non-coding RNA (586 nucleotides) under Physcomitrium patens. RNAcentral's name for it is "long non-coding RNA (PPAT_LNC007807)". Lineage: Eukaryota; Viridiplantae; Streptophyta; Bryopsida; Funariales; Funariaceae. The record is from RNAcentral.